Long non-coding RNA from Gasterosteus aculeatus aculeatus (three-spined stickleback), 534 nucleotides. Lineage: Eukaryota; Metazoa; Chordata; Actinopteri; Perciformes; Gasterosteidae. The record is from Ensembl.
AUCAGAGAACGAGAGGCAGAGCAUUAGGUACACGUGCGCUCCUGGAACAGAUGCCGUCCCGUCGCUGACAUUUCAAAGAAAACACACCAAUCCUGGGCCUGAAAAAUCCUUGGUGUGACUUCGCUCCCUCACGGAGCUGCGACAGCUGGACGGGGUUUACUUAGGCGCUGGAUUUCCCAGAGACGUGAGGAACGGAGGAAAUUAUGUUUACAGAGGGAGCGCGGUGCCCCUCGCUCAGAGGUGCUCGACCACUUUACAUCACAAAGGACCGAAAAACAGCGGCAGGGAAAGCUAAUUAUUCGCCCGGAACCAACAUUCCACCAGAGAGGCGGACGAAUGCAUACCAAGUAGGAAAUCGUUAUUUCUGCCUUUCACAAUGCGGGAAAUGAGGAGCAUGAAGCUUAUUCCUUGGUGGCAGAGCUGCUGACGGAGAUGCCUUGAACUCUGCCUCUCGCUGCUCCUCACCAGUGGCGUUUGGCGUGAUGGAAUCUGCUCAUGUGACACCUGCUGACCUCCCUGCAUUAAACUGGGGAA